RNAcentral lists this ribosomal RNA (487 nucleotides) under uncultured Propionibacterium sp. RNAcentral describes it as "bacterial SSU rRNA". It matches the Rfam family "Bacterial small subunit ribosomal RNA", at positions 8 to 507 of the family's 1533-position model. Lineage: Bacteria; Bacillati; Actinomycetota; Actinomycetes; Propionibacteriales; Propionibacteriaceae. The record is from RNAcentral.
AGAGUUUGAUCCUGGCUCAGGACGAACGCUGGCGGCGUGCUUAACACAUGCAAGUCGAACGGAAAGGCCUCUUUCGGGGGUACUCGAGUGGCGAACGGGUGAGUAACACGUGAGUAACCUGCCCUUGACUUUGGGAUAACUUCAGGAAACUGGGGCUAAUACCGGGAUAGGAGCUCCUGCUGCAUGGUGGGGGUUGGAAAGUUUCGGCGGUUGGGGAUGGACUCGCGGCUUAUCAGCUUGUUGGUGGGGUAGUGGCUUACCAAGGCUUUGACGGGUAGCCGGCCUGAGAGGGUGACCGGCCACAUUGGGACUGAGAUACGGCUCAGACUCCUACGGGAGGCAGCAGUGGGGAAUAUUGCACAAUGGGUGGAAGCCUGAUGCAGCAACGCCGUGUGCGGGAUGACGGCCUUCGGGUUGUAAACCGCUUUCGCUCAUGACGAAGCUUUGUGUGACGGUAGUGGGUAAAGAAGCACCGGCUAACUACGUG